This 228-nucleotide long non-coding RNA is filed under the name Salvia miltiorrhiza (redroot sage). Its description in RNAcentral is "long non-coding RNA (SMIL_LNC009807)". Lineage: Eukaryota; Viridiplantae; Streptophyta; Magnoliopsida; Lamiales; Lamiaceae. The record is from RNAcentral.
AAAAAUACCAGUACCAUCCCAGCCCUAAUGACAUACCAUAUGCAUGUCAGAAAAGGACCUUAAAGUAGUAGCUACAUGCCAAAGUAUAUAACAAAACAAUUAAUAGAAGAAAUUCGAAUGACCAAAAUAUGUCAGCCAAGCUUUGAAACUAAACCUUUUAAUUACAUGUCAAGUUCGUACUUUGUAGAUCAAAUUCCCAAAUAGAAUCAAGUACCGCCUAUCAAUUAC